UACGUAGGAUGCAAGCGUUGUCCGGAAUUAUUGGGCGUAAAGAGCGCGCAGGCGGUCAUUCAAGUCCGAUGUGAAAUAUCCGGGCUUAACCUGGAGGGGUCAUUUGAAACUGGGUGACUAGAGUACAGCAGAGGAUAGCGGAAUUCCCGGUGUAGUGGUGAAAUGCGUAGAUAUCGGGAGGAACACCAGUGGCGAAGGCGGCUAUCUGGGCUGAAACUGACGCUGAGGCGCGAAGGCUAGGGGAGCAAACAGG
Molecule: ribosomal RNA, 253 nt
Filed under: uncultured bacterium
Lineage: Bacteria
Description: partial 16S ribosomal RNA
Rfam family: Bacterial small subunit ribosomal RNA
Source: RNAcentral